UGGGAUAGCUCAGUUGGUA
Molecule: transfer RNA, 19 nt
Filed under: Tripodanthus acutifolius
Lineage: Eukaryota; Viridiplantae; Streptophyta; Magnoliopsida; Santalales; Loranthaceae
Also listed under: 1 other name
Description: partial tRNA-Phe
Source: RNAcentral